RNAcentral lists this ribosomal RNA (1498 nucleotides) under uncultured prokaryote. Its description in RNAcentral is "partial 16S ribosomal RNA". It matches the Rfam family "Bacterial small subunit ribosomal RNA". The record is from RNAcentral.
AGAGUUUGAUCCUGGCUCAGAACGUACGCUGGCGGCGUGCUUAACACAUGCAAGUCGAACGCGAAAGUUGUCCUUCGGGACGGCGAGUAGAGUGGCAGACGGGUGAGUAACACGUGGGUAACCUACCCCGAGGCGGGGGAUAACAACUGGAAACGGUUGCUAAUACCGCAUAAGACUACGAACGGAUCUUCGGAUUAGUAGUUAAAGUCUUCGGACACCUUGGGAGGGGCCCGCGGUUGAUUAGCUUGUUGGUGGGGUAAAGGCCUACCAAGGCAACGAUCAAUAGCUGGUCUGAGAGGAUGAUCAGCCACACUGGUACUUAGACACGGACCAGACUCCUACGGGAGGCAGCAGUGGGGAAUAUUGCGCAAUGGACGAAAGUCUGACGCAGCAACGCCGCGUGGGUGAGAAGGCCUUAGGGUCGUAAAGCUCUGUCAGGUGGGAAGAACCUUGCCUUUAUGGCAACUGACGGUACCACCAAAGGAAGCACCGGCUAACUCCGUGCCAGCAGCCGCGGUAAUACGGAGGGUGCAAGCGUUGUUCGGAAUUACUGGGCGUAAAGGGCGCGUAGGCGGCCUGUCAAGUCUGAUGUGAAAGUCCGGGGCUCAACCCCGGAAGUGCAUUGGAAACUGGCAGGCUUGAGUUCGGGAGGGGAGGGCAGAAUUCCCGGUGUAGGGGUGAAAUCCGUAGAUAUCGGGAGGAAAAUCAGUGGCGAAGGCGGCCCUCUGGAACGAAACUGACGCUGAGGCGCGAAAGCGUGGGGAGCAAACAGGAUUAGAGACCCUGGUAGUCCACGCCGUAAACGAUGGAUGCUAGGUGUAGGGAUCAAUCAUGAUCUCUGUGCCGAAGCUAACGCGAUAAGCAUCCCGCCUGGGGAGUACGGUCGCAAGACUAAAACUCAAAGGAAUUGACGGGGGCCUGCACAAGCGGUGGAGUAUGUGGUUUAAUUCGACACAACGCGCAGAACCUUACCUGGGUUUGACAUCGUGUGACGUUUAUAGAGAUAUAAAUUCCUCUUCGGAGGCACACAGACAGGUGCUGCAUGGCUGUCGUCAGCUCGUGUCGUGAGAUGUUGGGUUAAGUCCCGCAACGAGCGCAACCCCCGUCCCAUGUUGCCAGCAAGUAAUGUUGGGCACUCUUGGGAGACUGCCGGUGUCAAACCGGAGGAAGGUGGGGAUGACGUCAAGUCCUCAUGGCCCUUAUACCCAGGGCUACACACGUACUACAAUGGCCGGUACAAAGAGGCGCCAACCCGCGAGGGGGAGCAAAUCUCAGAAAGCCGGUCUCAGUUCGGAUUGGAGUCUGCAACUCGACUCCAUGAAGGCGGAAUCGCUAGUAAUCGCGGAUCAGCAUGCCGCGGUGAAUACGUUCCCGGGCCUUGUACACACCGCCCGUCACACCAUGAGAGUCGCUUGUACCAGAAGUGCGUAGGCCAACCCUUUGGGGAGGCAGCGUACCAAGGUGUGGGCGGUAAUUGGGGUGAAGUCGUAACAAGGUA